GGCUAGUUAGCUCAGUUGGUUAGAGCAUGGUGCUAAUAAUGCCAAGGUCGCAGUUUCAAACCUGUAUGGGCUA
This is a non-coding RNA of Mus musculus (house mouse), 73 nucleotides long. The record is from Rfam. NCBI's taxonomy places the organism in Eukaryota, Metazoa, Chordata, Mammalia, Rodentia, Muridae.